Molecule: long non-coding RNA, 709 nt
Organism: Ruditapes philippinarum (Manila clam)
Lineage: Eukaryota; Metazoa; Mollusca; Bivalvia; Venerida; Veneridae
Exons: 3
Source: RefSeq, a predicted model, not a curated record
UUCAUAAAACAUCAAAACAAUUGAAAUUUAUGUUUCGCUAUUUUUAAUAUAUGAUCAACAAAUAUUUACUUAAAUCAUUUUACUUAAAAGAUAACAGGCAGUGGGUAUAUUUGUUGAUAGUGAUAAGACAAGAGCGGAGUGAACAUUUAUCACAAAACAUGGAAAACGGAGAGUAUCAAAGUGUCAAAAAUAGAAACAAAUAAUGGAUAAUACAUUAAAUUCGAAUAAAUAGCAUAACAUGAAUUUUGUUUGUCAAAGUGAAAAUUAAAUGCACGAUUUUGUAUCGAUGCGAUAUACUUCUUGAUGAAAAAAACAAGUUAUUUAUCUGCAAGUACUGCUUAAAGUAUUCGUUACACUUGAAUUUAUUUUCAUUUCAUUCAUUUCAUCGUCAUAUUGGGACUUGGUUUUACCUUAGACAAUGGGAAGUACAUAAAUGUAAUAGUUGUUUGAUGAUAAGAAAAGUUACAUAAUGUCGGAAAAUACUGUUCAACAAGAAUUCACCGCCAGAUGGUAUUGAUCUCUAACAUAGCGAAAUCAAGGUCAAAGUAUAUCUUGCAAAGUCAUUUGAUACUUAGGCAGCUGAAAUAAUGAGCAUUUAAUCUCCAUACAGAUGUUAAAGGGCUACUGUCUAAUGAAGGUAUGUUUAUUAACUUGCGACAAUUUGUGGUUUCUUUUAUUAUAUAAAAAAUAGAAUUCGUUAGACAUAUUU